This 774-nucleotide ribosomal RNA is filed under the name uncultured bacterium. RNAcentral's name for it is "bacterial SSU rRNA". It matches the Rfam family "Bacterial small subunit ribosomal RNA", at positions 61 to 823 of the family's 1533-position model. The record is from RNAcentral.
GUCGAGGGGAAACGACGGGGAAGCUUGCUUCCCCGGGCGUCGACCGGCGCACGGGUGAGUAACGCGUAUCCAACCUGCCUCUGACUGAGGGAUAACCCGUCGAAAGUCGGCCUAAUACCUCAUGGCAUCGUCUGCGGGCAUCCAACGACGAUUAAAGAUUUCAUCGGUCAGGGAUGGGGAUGCGUCUGAUUAGCUUGUUGGCGGGGUAACGGCCCACCAAGGCUACGAUCAGUAGGGGUUCUGAGAGGAAGGUCCCCCACAUUGGAACUGAGACACGGUCCAAACUCCUACGGGAGGCAGCAGUGAGGAAUAUUGGUCAAUGGGCGAGAGCCUGAACCAGCCAAGUAGCGUGCAGGAUGACGGCCCUAUGGGUUGUAAACUGCUUUUAUGCGGGGAUAAAGUGAGGGACGUGUCCUUCAUUGCAGGUACCGCAUGAAUAAGGACCGGCUAAUUCCGUGCCAGCAGCCGCGGUAAUACGGAAGGUCCGGGCGUUAUCCGGAUUUAUUGGGUUUAAAGGGAGCGUAGGCCGUGGAUUAAGCGUGUUGUGAAAUGCAGGUGCUCAACGUCUGCACUGCAGCGCGAACUGGUCCACUUGAGUGUGCGCAACGCAGGCGGAAUUCGUCGUGUAGCGGUGAAAUGCUUAGAUAUGACGAAGAACUCCGAUUGCGAAGGCAGCUUGCGGGAGCACAACUGACGCUGAAGCUCGAAAGUGCGGGUAUCGAACAGGAUUAGAUACCCUGGUAGUCCGCACGGUAAACGAUGGAUGCCCGUUGU